AUGACCGAGCUGAUGACCAAUCUUAGGGAGGUAAAUACAAAGGGCAUCUCAUGGAGGAAUUUAAGUCAUGCAUGGAAAAGGCUACACAACCUUCACAAGCUCCGAGUGGCCGAAUCCUUAGAUGUUAUCACGGUGGAGACAUGCUCUUUCGUUGAUAUGAUAAAUCUUGAGCUCUUGGACUUAUCGGGUAACAUUCAUAUGAAAUCAUUUCCUGCAGUGUCAUCAUCAGGAAACUUGAAGAUGCUUGUUCUUGAUGGUUGUUCCAGAUUGAAGCAUGUUGCACUCGAGGGAUCCACUCCACAACUCGAGAGUUUUAGCUUUGAUGGUUAUGGCCCAUCAGUGAAAUGGACACAUGAUGUACAACUGCCAAAGACAGAACUGCGUCCCAAGUCCCACAAUGCUUCACUUCCAAAAGCAGAGGUGAGACGGAUCUCCCUAAAGGGUUGCAAUCAUUUGCACAACAUAUUCUUGCAUGCAUUACCCAGUCUUAAGGAGUUGGACCUCUCUGGCACAUCUGCUAAAACACUUGACCUCUGUACAAUGGGUGUCUCACGACUCAAGAAGCUACUCUUGCUGGGUUGUGAGCAACUUCGUAGCCUACUCUGGAAUCAAAGCAACACUUCAUUAGAAGUUCUACAUGUAGACACUUGA
RNAcentral lists this ribosomal RNA (651 nucleotides) under Triticum aestivum (bread wheat). RNAcentral describes it as "partial small subunit ribosomal RNA". Lineage: Eukaryota; Viridiplantae; Streptophyta; Magnoliopsida; Poales; Poaceae. The record is from RNAcentral.